UGGUUCUGGCAUCGAUGAAGAACGCAGCGAAAUGCGAUAAGUAAUGCGAAUUGCAGAAUUCCAGUGAGUCAUCGAAUCUUUGAACGCACAUUGCGCCCUUUGGUAUUCCGAAGGGCAUGCCUGUUCGAGCGUCAUUAUCACCUCUCAAGCCCUGUGCUUGGUGUUGGAUGGCAUGGUUGAAUUCUAGUUUGACCCCUCCUAAAGACAACGACGGCGGCUUGUGGUUCCCCCGGUGCACUGAGCUUUUCACCGAGCACGUACCGGACCCGGGUGUCCAUGCCACGGCCCUCUCCCUCCACGGGAAACAUUUAAUUAGGUUGACCUCGGAUCAGGUAGGAAUACGCGCUGA
This 349-nucleotide unclassified non-coding RNA is filed under the name uncultured fungus. Its description in RNAcentral is "partial contains 5.8S ribosomal RNA and internal transcribed spacer 2". The stretch from base 1 to 134 matches the Rfam family "5.8S ribosomal RNA", at positions 22 to 154 of the family's 154-position model. The record is from RNAcentral. Lineage: Eukaryota; Fungi.